CCUACGGGAGGCAGCAGUAGGGAAUAUUGGGCAAUGGAGGCAACUCUGACCCAGCCAUGCCGCGUGAAGGAAGACGGCCUUCUGGGUUGUAAACUUCUUUUAUAUGGGAAGAAAUGACUCUCGCGAGAGGCUUUGACGGUACCAUAUGAAUAAGCACCGGCUAACUCCGUGCCAGCAGCCGCGGUAAU
RNAcentral lists this ribosomal RNA (188 nucleotides) under uncultured bacterium. RNAcentral's name for it is "partial 16S ribosomal RNA". It matches the Rfam family "Bacterial small subunit ribosomal RNA", at positions 338 to 524 of the family's 1533-position model. The record is from RNAcentral.